RNAcentral lists this ribosomal RNA (465 nucleotides) under uncultured bacterium. Its description in RNAcentral is "partial 16S ribosomal RNA". It matches the Rfam family "Bacterial small subunit ribosomal RNA", at positions 28 to 507 of the family's 1533-position model. The record is from RNAcentral.
GACGAACGCUGGCGGCGUGCUUAACACAUGCAAGUCGAACGGAAAGGCCCCUUUGGGGGUACUCGAGUGGCGAACGGGUGAGUAACACGUGAGUAACCUGCCCUUGACUUCGGGAUAACUUCAGGAAACUGGGGCUAAUACCGGAUAGGAAUCCUUGCUGCAUGGUGGGGGUUGGAAAGCUUCGGCGGUUUUGGAUGGACUCGCGGCUUAUCAGCUUGUUGGUGGGGUAGUGGCUUACCAAGGCUUUGACGGGUAGCCGGCCUGAGAGGGCGACCGGCCACAUUGGGACUGAGAUACGGCCCAGACUCCUACGGGAGGCAGCAGUGGGGAAGAUUGCACAGUGGGCGGAAGCCUGAUGCAGCACCGCCGCGUGCGGGAUGACGGCCUUCGGGUUGUAAACCGCUUUCAGCAGGGGCGAAGCUUGUGGUGACGGUACCUGCAGAAGAAGCACCGGCUAACUACGUG